RNAcentral lists this transfer RNA (64 nucleotides) under Xenoturbella profunda. RNAcentral describes it as "tRNA-Leu". Lineage: Eukaryota; Metazoa; Xenacoelomorpha; Xenoturbellidae. RNAcentral also lists the same sequence under 2 other names. The record is from RNAcentral.
CUUGAAUAGUAUAAACACAUUACCUUGAGCCUAAGCCUCAAAAAUAAAGACUCUUUUUCAAGAA